AGGCUCCUCGGUGCAAAUGCUGUCCUUGCCAGGGACACGGCUGCGCGGUCAGAGCCUGAUGCCCGGGGGCCUCCCCCAGAACACCGGAGGGAGCGGGCUGACCCUACCUGAUGAAAUGAGGUCUCCAGGUCACCUGGUGACCAACGGUGACCCCAGAUUUGAAGGAGGGAAGAUAACUGCCAUGAUGGGGAAACAGACUCAGAGAGGUUCCCGAGGCGGCCCAGCAUCACACAGCAGAGCGGAGGUUUGAAGGACCCAUCCCCUCAAGACACUGUAAAUAUCUCUUCGGUCUUUCGAUGGCUGGUCUCAGAAGCAUUUCUGGUUUUAAUCUUUUGCCUUGUAAGUGUGCACCAGAUGUGAAGCCGGCUUUCAUCAUUUAGGACCUGAUGAAUUAUUUUGUACUCCAGGACCACUGGGAGAUGGGACAUGAAAACAGUUUUCUACCCCACCCCCAUGUCAUACAACAGAGAAUGGCUUGUUCUCCUUUUCACUCAUCAAGCCAUCAGUGACUGUGAUGAGGUUUGGGUCAGAAGUUUUUCAUCCAACCAUCCAACUCUGAAAUGGUCAGACUUGAGGGCUGCAAAGGCUCAGGGUCAAAGUCCUCCUGGAGCGAGUAAUUCUUUAUGAUACUGUGACUAAGUCAGGAGACAGGAGCCUGCGAGUGACCCCUGGACUGGGCUGGAUGAAGAGGACACUGCUUGCCUUCUGUGAGUGGGGGCCCCGAGCAUCAGGACAUCACUGGAUGGUCCUGGAUAAAUCCCAGCCACCCUCAGCCCAGCUCUGGGCCAUGGCUGCAGGAUUUAGAGGCAGUAACCACCCUGGGAAGGAGAA
Molecule: long non-coding RNA, 831 nt
Organism: Leptonychotes weddellii (Weddell seal)
Lineage: Eukaryota; Metazoa; Chordata; Mammalia; Carnivora; Phocidae
Source: RefSeq, a predicted model, not a curated record